RNAcentral lists this ribosomal RNA (253 nucleotides) under uncultured bacterium. RNAcentral's name for it is "partial 16S ribosomal RNA". It matches the Rfam family "Bacterial small subunit ribosomal RNA", at positions 524 to 776 of the family's 1533-position model. The record is from RNAcentral.
GACGUAGGUGGCGAACGUUAUCCGGAAUUAUUGGGCGUAAAGAGCGCGUAGGCGGUCCGAUAAGUCGGCUGUGAAAGUCAGGGGCUCAACCCUUGAAAGCCGGCCGAUACUGUCGGACUAGAGUCCGGAAGAGGCAAGUGGAAUUCCCGGUGUAGCGGUGAAAUGCGCAGAUAUCGGGAGGAACACCAAUGGCGAAGGCAGCUUGCUGGGACGGUACUGACGCUGAGGCGCGAAAGCGUGGGGAGCAAACAGG